RNAcentral lists this long non-coding RNA (6335 nucleotides) under Sus scrofa (pig). RNAcentral's name for it is "lncRNA (ENSSSCG00000052505.1)". Lineage: Eukaryota; Metazoa; Chordata; Mammalia; Artiodactyla; Suidae. The record is from RNAcentral.
UUUUUUUUUUUUUUCUUUUGCAUUUUCCUCAGCCUCUUGUUACCCCUGACUGGUAUUACUGCCUCAGGGUGCUACAAUGUGAAACAAUGGUCAAUGACUUUCUUUUGACAAAUGGCCCUUGGAAGAGGACUACUUGAACAUAGCUGGCUCUAAAUCAGGUCAAAUAAAGACAAAUCUUGAGAAUGAUGCUUCUCAGGAAACUGCUGUUCAGGUCGAGUAAUAAUUCUCUUGGUUAGGGAUUUUGGGGAGGUUCAAAUCUGUUCUGCCACAUAUAGUGGCUGCUAGACCACUGAUUCUCAAUUACUCUAGUUGUGAGGCCAUUUGCUUUCAGGGUACCACAGAACUGAGGGGAAGGGGAUGGAAAUAGGGGAAAUUAAAAUGCCACAGAAUUUGCUAAUUUUUUAAAAGACUCAGUUAUUUUUCUUAAUUUUUAAAAAAUGUUUGCGAGGAGUUCCCAUCGUGGUGCAGUGGUUAACGAGUCCAACUAGGAACCAUGAGGUUGCGGGUUCGAUCCCUGGCCUUGCUCAGUGGGUUAAGGAUCUGGUGUUGCCAUGAGCUGCGGUAUAGGUCGCAGACGCGGCUCGUAUCCCGCAUUGCUGGGGCUGUGGCAUAGGCCGGUGGCUACAGCUCCAAUUAGACCCCUAGCCUGGGAAACUCCAUAUGCCGUGGGAGCUGCUCAAGAAAAGGCAAAAAGACAAAAAAAAAAAAAAAAAGAAAGAAAAAAAAAUUUGCAACUCUUCGUUUAAUCCCAGAGCUCUGAAAAAGUUGAUUUUGACAAUUUUUGCCAAUGUACUCACAACCUUUAUGGAGGAGCAGAAUUUUGGAUGCACUUACUCUGUAAUUCCAGAAAUACUUCUCCCCUCUUGUUUAUUUUAAUAUGGUACAAAUAUGCUCAUUGGUAUGGUCCACACAAAAUGAUUUAACAUUAAGACAUUUUCAUGGAAUAAAAAUACCAUUUUUACUCAAAAGAGUUAACUUUGAUCACCACAAGGGAGAAGAUUCUGAUUUAUUUUCCUAACUUUAGUGAUAAAAAACACAACAGUCUCAAAACUAAGUAUUGUGGCAAGUUCCCAUUGUGGCUCAGCAGAAACGAAUCUGACUGGUAUCCAUGGGGAUGCAGGUUUGAUCCCUGGCCUUGCUAGUAGGCUGGGGAUCUGGUGUUGCCAUAAGCUAUGGUGUAAGUCGCAGAUGCAGUUUGGUUCCUGUGUUGCUGUGGCUGUGGUAUAGGCUGGCAGCUGAAGCUCCAAUUCAACCCCUAGCCUGGGAACUUUCAUAUAUGGUGGGUGUUGCCCUAAAAAACAAACAAACAAACAAACAAAAAAACUAACUAUUGUGGAAAUAGUAAGGAAAAUCUAGAUAUUGUUACUCUAGGUAAAUUGAAUUUAUAUCAAAAGUGUUUGAGUGUUUUUGGCAGGGUGCUGGUCAUGGUAAAAGUGAGUUGUGAGAGCUUAAUAUUAUCUUCGUAGACAUCCAGGCCCAGUUCCCUACCUCAAGAUCCACCAAUUUCUCUGCAUUCUUAUAUUCUUUAUAACUCCUUUUUUUCAUCAGGGAGUUUAACAACUUUCUGCAGUUCUUGUGAAAAGGAAAAUGCAUUCCUUUGGUCAUGUGUUCUUCCAUUUCUCUUUCUUCUCUGUAGGACUUAGAUUUUCAAAAGGGAAAAGAAAAAGCCAAUCCCAGGGGAAGAAAAAAAAAGAGGAGAAGAAAACACUGAAUUACCUCUUUGUAUAUUUGGGGCUUGAAAAAGAAAUUUAGUCUCAUAAAAAUAAUUUCCUCUUUAUACUCCUCGUUUUUGUAACUAUGAAAUUCAUCCCUGUGCUAUAUACAUACAAUUGCUUAAUUAAUAUUACCAUUUCUUUAUUAGCCUUAAUAACACACUUAGUAUUACAAUUACUUGCAUUGUUACUUUUUGUGGCUCAGAUACACUUAGCCAUAACUCCACUGUAGGUACUUUACACUCUUCUCUUGUGCCUUUGUAGUACAUUUUGGCCCACAUGAAAGAAAAACCAGGGCAGGUCCUGGUAUUUAUGGCCUCAGUUUUAAAGUUUCUAAGCCUUAUUGUUCCAACAUUGCUCUACAAUUCUUCUAUCUUCAUUGCCCUCUGCCACUUGGCUGUUCCUUCUUGCUUUACCCUGGAAACUUUAGUGGCUUUUAACUCCCAAUCUCUGGCUCUAUCCUCUUGGCUGCCCACAAUUUCCUUUCCUGGAGAGGAAUCAACUAGUCAUGGCUAUCUUUCAUAAAGUCUCAUAUCUCCUCUUCCAGUGCAGUCCUCACCCUACAGGACAAAGACUUGGAUGAUUAGAGGUUCAUGGUUGCCUUCAUUCCAGUAAUCUACUUUGGGACCAAAAAUUUUAAAUGGCCAAUAUUGGCAAUAUAUCUCUACUAAUGUUUAAAUACCUAUUUUAUGGUGUCCAGUUGGAGUGUUUACAAUUUCUUUUAGAUAUCAUGAUAAUUGGCUCAUGCUCAUCUCUUCAAAUUUUAAAAGAACCACCAAAGAUUAUUCUUCUAGGCUAUCCAUUCUGUUUUGUGAGAAAUAAAUGUCCUGUCUUCUACCUUCAUUCUGGUAGUGUAUGUAACUGCAUUUAUUAAUAAUAAAUAACAAUUUCCUUAAAGAAGGCAUUGCAUAAAAACUUUUAUCAGAUGAUAAAAGUUUCACAGUGUGCUUCAUGUCCUCUAAUAUAUUUCAAAAUUAAUAUAUAUUAAUAUAUUCCAUCUCCUCUAAUAUAUUUCAGAAUUAGAUCAAAUCAAGCCACUUAAGGAAGCAAAUAAGAGGAGAAAAAAAAAACAGAGUAAAAAAACAUGUUCGAAUAUGUCACUCAGAAUUCUGAAAAUAUUCUAUGCUUAUAAGAAGUCUAAAUUCCUUGGCAUCCUUUCAAGAUUCUUUCAACUCUGACCACAACUUCACUUGCCUUUUCUAACUUCUAUUCAUUCUACUCAUCCAUUUCAUGCUGUCUGUGUCUAGAAUGCCCAUUAUCCUUUUUCUCCAACUGCGGAACCCUCUGCCCACUUCCUACAAGGCUAAAUUCCAGUGCCACCAUCUCUUUGAAACUCGGGGGCUGGGGGCGGGGGGGUGUUGUUCUUGGUUUUGUUUUUUUAUUUGUUUUUGUUUGUUUUGUUUUGUUUUGUUGUCGCUUUAGGACCACACCCGUGGCAUAUGGAAGUUCUCCAGCUAUGGGUUGAAUUGGAGCUGUAGCUGCCAGCCUACUCCACAGCCACAGCAACUCCAGAUCCAAUCCGCAUCUGUGACCUACACCACAGCUUACAGCAACAUCGGAUCCUUAACCCACUGAGCAAGGCCAAGAACAGAACCCACAUACUCAUGGAUACCAGCCAGGUUUGUUACCACUGAGCCACAAUGGGAACUCCCUGUCUUUUUCUUCCCGUUGAUUUUAUCCUCUAUUCUAGGGCUCAUCAGAUGCAAUUAGAAAUAGCAUUCUAUAUAUGUAUUUGGGUAGCUUGUGAAUUUUCUUAAGGAUAGGGCCAAGCACUUCAACAACUCUGACCCUGCAGGAUCCAGAAGACUUCCUACUACAGAGAAGUAUCCACAAAUGUCUGAAUGAAUGAAUUACACAGGGGCAGAUGUUUGCAGGCAAUAAAAAUGACGAAUUGACUGUCUUGAUAUAGGCUAUGGUCUAGUAGAGUGGAUGAAAAAUAGCCACAUAGUUUGUAAAACAAUCUAUUUAAGUGUUUUUAUUUCAGAGCCAAAUCAUAGAUUCUCUUUCUCUUGAUGUAUUUAUUUUUAUUAAUUCCAAGAGCAUUUCCUUGCAUAUAUAUCUACUGACCCUGUUCUUUUAUAAGAAAUACCUAUCUUCUUGGUUUGAUUGCUAACUAAUCAUUUAUUUGCUAACCCUGGGAUUUUAGAGCCCAGCUACUUGAUUUAAAUUUUCAGAAACUGGCUAAAAAAAAAAAAAAAAAAAAAAACUAAAUCAACUUACUCAAAUAAUUCUAGACUUGCCUAACAGCUUAAAAUAUAAUUAACUCACAUUUCAAAUGAAGGGACCCAACUACAAUGUUACUACUCAUGAGCGGUGGUUAUUCUGAGUCAGAGAGUGCCAUAAACUGAAUAUUCUUGCCAGGGCACCACCCCAGUACUCCCUCCCCCACUACAGCCUUACUGUCUCACUCAAGUUGAAGUCUGCCAAGAAGUUUUGGAGAAAUUUCCUAUAGUGUUAAGAACUGCCCCUCACCAGGAUUCCAAAGGCAGACUUUUUUCAUAAGUACCAGUUGCCCAGAUGUCUUUGGACCAGGUUACUGGCACAGAUUUGUUCAGGAAAUAGGGCGGGAGGAACACCUAUUUAAUAUUUUAAGUGAAAAAACAUUCAUGACAUUACACAAUAACAACAAAAAAGGUUGGUUCGUGGUGAAGUUCAAGCCCCACGUCAUUGUCAUCAUAAAUACGACUUUAUUUUGGUCACCGCAAAAAAAAAAUAAUCAUGGGUUCUCAAUUGAAGAAGCAAUUAAUAAGGUUAAUUUCAUGAGACUGCUUAAUUUUAACAGGCUUAAAACAAAACCCAUCAAACAUUAAGAAUUGAGGACAAAACUGCUUAUUUUCUGUUCCUAGUUACAACUGAAAGAAAUUAAUGGACAGCAGAUUUUCAGUAGAAAAACAACCGUCCUACCCAUUUUUGCCUUUGCGGAACAUAGCCCUGGAUUCUAAUACAUAGCAGGAACUCAAAAAUUAUUGAACUCCAUAAAGCUGCUUAUGUAGUUUAGCCUCAUGAGUUAGUAUCACCGUCUUGGAGCGCAUUACCCUCAAUACAUACAUAGUAAUAUUUAAAAAUCUGAAUCAUCAUGAAAUCUUUGUAAAAACAGAAGCAGCUCUAGACAAUAACACCUAUCCUUAAAUCCUCAAAGAGGGAGAAUGAAAGCACACUUUGAGGCUAUCUUAAAAUUUAUUCGAAACCUCAUAUUUAACUUUUAAAAGAACAUCAUUUUAUAUUUUUCUUUUAAACAUACAAUAGUUUAAAAAUCAUUUAUUAUUGAAACGGACACCACCCUCCUACCCAGAUGGGGAUACCUUAUUUAUGCUCUGGUCUUGAGAAUUCAUAAUCUUAUUACCAAAGACCUCCGGCCUACAGGGGAAGCAGAACUCUGUGCCCUCUUUUAUUCCCAAUCUCUUAGCGAAAUUUUUCUUCUCUUGUUAAAAAAAGAAUCCUUUUGACAGCCAGCUAAUUUGAAAAGCAAAAAGCAAAUCCUUGCUAAUGUUAUAGUGGGCUCUGAUAUCUUAAUGUAUUCCCAUUUUAUAGGGAUAUCUACAAGACAAUUUCCUAAUCCAACGUAAAUAUUCUAAAGGGUGAGGAUUCUAGAAACAAUAACAGGAGUUGCUGGAAAUAUUUUUGGCCCAACACCAAAGUUCCCUUCUGAUGCCCAUCAAAUUAUGUCACUUCCUAUAGGGCCCACCACACAUAGGCCCUGCCCUAUGUUCCCAUUGUCUACCUAAUACUAAUUCUCCCACUACCAGGAAGAAUGAUUCAUUUCUAUUCAGCAUUUACUUUAAUCCAGGCAUUAUGCUAAAUGCUUUGUAGGCUUGUCUCAUUUAAUCUUCACAACAAUCUUCAGAGAAAGGCAAUAUUUUCACCCCCAUUUUCUUCUGAGAAAACUGAAGCUUAGAGAAAACAGAUAAUUGUAUCGAAUCAUAUAGCUACUACAUGGUGCUUCCAGGUCUUGAAUCCAUGCGAUGUAACUCUGGAAUCUACAAGAGACUUACUCACUGUAUUUGAUUAUCUCCAAGGAGAAUACUCUGAAGGAAGUACCUAUUUAUCUUUUUGAAAUUAUUGGUCAGUAACCCCAGUUACUUUUGCCUCAUUUCAUAGACUCUACUUCCCAAAUUCUUAAUCAGUUCAGCCUCUAACCUCUUAGUGUACUUUUAAUUUUCAACCAUAUUUCCAAACCCUAAAAGAUAUUUGAUCAGAUUAGGUCUCACUUAUAUAGAAAAGUAUAUAGUAUAAAGUCUAGAGCUUAACAUUUCCAUCAAGUGACCUCAUAUAAUUAACAGUUUGUGACCCUAGUUUUUAUAUUUUCUAAGCCUCAGUUUACUCAAUGGCAUGUCUUUCUGUCAGACAGAAUAAAACUGCUUAAGAAAAUAUCUUUCCUGACAUUGAUUUGUAUUUAGAUGUAUUGAAAUUCAGAAAAUGAACAUUUAUUCUACAUUUAAUUCUGCAGCAACAGCUGCUUUGUCUCUACAUCUGCAUUGAUUUGACAUGAAGAUCAAUAAAUAUUGCCAACAGAUUCAUAGCACAUGUGAAAAUUAACUUCAACCACAGCACUGAUAGUAGUAGUUAUCAUCAUUAGAUUAUAAAUCCUAGAGGAGAUUUUAAAAAUAUUUAAAUUCAAAGUAU